AGCAGCCGCGGUAAUUCCAGCUCCAAUAGCGUAUAUUAAAGUUGUUGCAGUUAAAAAGCUCGUAGUUGAAUUUCGGGGUCAGCAGGUUGGUCGUGCCUAUGGUAUGAACUGGCUUCGCUGGUCUCUCCUUUCUGAAGAACUGUAAUGCCAUUAAUUUGGUGUUGCAGGGACACAGGACUGUUACUUUGAAAAAAUUAGAGUGUUUAAAGCAGGCUAACGCUUGAAUACAUUAGCAUGGAAUAAUGAAAUAGGACGUUCGAACCUAUUUUGUUGGUUUCUAGGAUUGACGUAAUGAUUAAUAGGGAUAGUUGGGGGCAUUAGUAUUCAAUUGUCAGAGGUGAAAUUCUUGGAUUUAUUGAAGACUGACUACUGCGAAAGCAUUUGCCAAGGAUGUUUUCAUUAAUCAAGAACGAAAGUUAGGGGAUCGAAGACGAUCAGAUACCGUCGUAGUCUUAACCAUAAACUAUGCCGACUAGGGAUCGGAUGAUGUUAAUUUUUUAAUGACUCA
Molecule: ribosomal RNA, 508 nt
Filed under: Glomus sp. Glo11
Lineage: Eukaryota; Fungi; Glomeromycota; Glomeromycetes; Glomerales; Glomeraceae
Also listed under: 1 other name
Description: SSU rRNA
Rfam family: Eukaryotic small subunit ribosomal RNA
Source: RNAcentral